UACGAAGGGGGCUAGCGUUGCUCGGAAUCACUGGGCGUAAAGGGCGCGUAGGCGGAUGACCAAGUCGGGGGUGAAAUCCCAGGGCUCAACCCUGGAACUGCCUUCGAUACUGGUCGUCUCGAGUUCGGGAGAGGUGAGUGGAACUCCGAGUGUAGAGGUGAAAUUCGUAGAUAUUCGGAAGAACACCAGUGGCGAAGGCGGCUCACUGGCCCGAUACUGACGCUGAGGCGCGAAAGCGUGGGGAGCAAACAGG
This 253-nucleotide ribosomal RNA is filed under the name uncultured bacterium. RNAcentral describes it as "partial 16S ribosomal RNA". It matches the Rfam family "Bacterial small subunit ribosomal RNA", at positions 524 to 776 of the family's 1533-position model. The record is from RNAcentral.